This 25-nucleotide non-coding RNA is filed under the name Rattus norvegicus (Norway rat). Lineage: Eukaryota; Metazoa; Chordata; Mammalia; Rodentia; Muridae. The record is from RNAcentral.
UCUGAUGUUCUCGUGUCCCUAGUCC